RNAcentral lists this non-coding RNA (26 nucleotides) under Homo sapiens (human). Lineage: Eukaryota; Metazoa; Chordata; Mammalia; Primates; Hominidae. The record is from RNAcentral.
UGUAGUCUGUCAGCAACUAUAGAUGU